GGUUUGCUUUUCCUUUUCUUUUGUUAUUCCAUGCUAACCUGUGAAUGAAGAAUAUUGAGACUGCUUCGAACUUGUGUAAAUAUAUUUAGUUAUAAAAUAUAUAUUUGGAAAAUGAAAACAUAAAAGUUGUGGAUAGCCCUCGUAGAUUAUUUACUAUUGAGCAUUGAAAGUAGAGAAAUUGUUAUUUUUAUCACUACAAAGUGAAAUUCCACCUUUCAAAAUCUCUCUUAUGCGUACAUAAAAUUAAUUUGAGAAAGAACAAAAGAAU
RNAcentral lists this unclassified non-coding RNA (268 nucleotides) under Hevea brasiliensis (rubber tree). The record is from RNAcentral. Lineage: Eukaryota; Viridiplantae; Streptophyta; Magnoliopsida; Malpighiales; Euphorbiaceae.